GUGGUGGGACUCAGACUGCACGUUACAAGUGAAGAAAAUCUGUCAAAGUCUCGGAUUGAAGAACUCGUGAUUAUAAAACUCCAGGAAGAAUUUAAAAGACGUGGACUUCCCAGUAACUUCACCAUGAGUCUGAGAAACUAUCGCAAAAUCGCUCCAUAAGAAAUUACAGCAAACACACA
Molecule: long non-coding RNA, 179 nt
Organism: Triplophysa dalaica
Lineage: Eukaryota; Metazoa; Chordata; Actinopteri; Cypriniformes; Nemacheilidae
Exons: 2
Source: RefSeq, a predicted model, not a curated record